Molecule: long non-coding RNA, 5982 nt
Organism: Dromaius novaehollandiae (emu)
Lineage: Eukaryota; Metazoa; Chordata; Aves; Casuariiformes; Dromaiidae
Exons: 3
Source: RefSeq, a predicted model, not a curated record
CAAGACCAGCAAAGCAGACAAAAAUCACCUCCCAGCUAGCCCCAUCCAACAGCACUUCCAAAUGACGCGCAGCCUGGGAGGGCGAGGCAGAAGGUGCGCUGGCGGGAGGGGCACCCGCGGGGGCUCCGCGCCCGCGCCGGCGCUACACGCCGGGGCGGCGGGGCCGCGGCGGGCGCCCGGAUCUCCGCCCCUGCCCCGGGGGCGCCGCGCUGCGGGCACCGGGCCGCUCCGCCCCCGGGGAAGCCAGGGCAGCGAAACGCGCCCAUCGCAGCCAAGCGCCUAUAGAUUUUCGCCCUUUGCCACAAAAACGCACGUCCGGCCCCGCCGCCGCACCCGGGCACCCGGCCGCCCCGCCGCGGCGCGCAGCAGCCCCCGGCCGCGCCCGCAGGCCGCCGCGCUCCCCCGCCCCUUCCCCCGCGCCCGCCUGAGGCUCCCCCGCUUCGCCCCUCCCCGCCGCUGCGCGCCCGCGCAGCCCCCCGCCGCGGCACCUCGGCGACGCACGGCCGGCGCCCCCCCGCCGCGGCACCCACGUGUCCGCGGGCGGCGCAGCCUCCCCGCGCAGCCCGCGCCGGCCCCGGGGGGCGGGCAGCGCCGGCCCGCAGGCGCUGCGCGGCGCGGCGCGCACUUACUCCGCGGGGCCUCCCCGGGCGGCGGCGCGGGCGCGGCGGCUCCCAGGAGCGGGCGCCCGGCGAGAAAUAUGAAAUGGAAAGGAGCACAUGUGGAUACAGAAAAAUCUCUGGAAGCAAGAAGGAAGAAGAGGAUCUCUGCAACAUGCUUUAUCCAGGAUACAAGGGAUAGACAAGUCUUAUCAUAAAUUCUACACUGCACAAAAUUUUCUUCAUAAAUUCACAAUCUUUGACUCAACAUAUGAUUGAGUGUCUGCUCUGUGGUAUGGCCUUUCUUCUAAGUCAGUUGAAGACUAAUCAUAUGUCCAACUUGUGUCUUUUUCUCACACUGAAAUCUUGUCUGGAAACUUCAGAAUAAAAUAUGACAGCCAACUCAACAUUGGGGUAAAUGUUGCAUAGACCUUUGAGAAAGCUGGCAAUGCAGAGAAGAGAACCGCGAUCUCACCAGAGAUGCAAGUGCAGUAAUCCAAGUAAAAGAGUGAACCGCCCUCCCGUAGCCCUGGUGAACUUUUACAGCACUUGAGUACUAUGGUGGUAAGUGCUUUAGAAUUUCUUAGAUUUCACUUUGCAGUGUUUCCGUUGACUUUCCCCUUCUGCAGGUUUUACAAAUUGUUCAUCUUAUAAGAAGAAUCAAGGGAAGCCUAUAUCCUAUUUAGGCAUUGAGUAAGUCCAGGAAAAUACCAUUCACAAUAGGUGGCUGACAGGCUUAUAGCUCAAAAUGUUUAUGUUUAAAAUAUUACCAUAUACUCAUAUUGCCAUAUACUACUUACAAGGAUCCAAGCUCAUGAAAUGUCAAGCAUCUGCUAUUUCCAUUGGAAUAAAGGCAAGUUGGGAAUGCUCCCUUCCAUCCCAAGAGUUGUCAGGUCACUUCUUGGAAUUAUCGCUUUACCCAUUGUAGAAACAUCUGAAAUGUUAAGUGGCUUAUAAGACCUCUGGUGUUACCUAAAAAUAAUAUGGGGCUUCCUUAUACAUCUAAUGAAUUUCUGUAGGAGCAGUAAGGCAACUUAUUAGGACCGACAAUUAAAAGUUCUGAAAUUUGGAAGACGAGUGCCUUUGAGAACUGACGGUAGCUCCAAGCUAAACUCUUUCUUUUCUGUUAUUCUUUCACUCCUCCAAACAAGUACCUCUCCAGAUGUGAGAGCUUCUGGCAGGUAUGAUGAAUGGCAAAUCCUAAUGAAGGCUAUGGUUUGGCUAGAAGUGUUAGGACUUAGCACACUGUACAAUUCUCAUCUGAAAUAGGAAUAUCAGGAGCCAAUUUCUUGAACAUAAUUUAUUCCAGACACUAGCUGGAAUAAACAGCAUUCUGUAACCUCCUCAGAUAUUUUGCCAGUGGGGAGCUGUCUUUACACUUCUUUCAGCUAAGUUAGUGUUCCAAAUACAAAACUCAUCACUCAAGAAUACAGUGUGGUUUUACAAACUUGAGGAUUUGAGUUCAUUACCAUAGACAGGAUUGUGCCCUAUCUAUGUUUUUUUCUUCUGCAUCAGAUCUAGAGUAGCAUGCUGCUUGCCUUGCCCUGAAGAGUAAAAAAACUCCCCCAAAACCAAAAAAAACCAAAAAACCCCAGCACUCAGUCAUGAUGAGGUUUAACUUCUAGAAGCAACUUGAGCAUAAAUAAGUUCAGUUUCUAAAAUAUUCAAUGUUUUACUUAAGUGAAGUUUCAUGCUAAAAGGGAGUAUAAAAAUGGGACCUUCUUAGUCAGUAGAUGUUCUCUUGUGUGUUCUCAGUCUUUUUGGUUUCCUUUAGUAACAGAAAUAUUUUUUUAAUAUAUUUUUACCCUAGUUCCCUGCACAAUGUAUGCAGCUGUGACAGAAUGAGCUAGAUUUUGUUCUGGCACAUGCACUAUAAACAGAAGUACUGCCAUGAAUAUAAUCCUGACUUACCUGUGCAAACAAGGACUCAUAAAACUCAGCUUUUCAGUUCCAGAGUCAGAUGCUGUCCUCGGCUACACCUAGAUGUAACUAAAGGCAAAAUUUGACCCAUGGAAUUUUUACGACCAGGAAAAGACAAGAUGCAAAGGGGGAAUUUUCAGGAGUGGUUUCUAAUGGAACAUGGGAACAUUUUUGAGGCAGAUGCUACUGGGACACAGUAUGAGCUAGCCCUGCAAUGGCAUGUUUGUAAGCCACUUGUAACAAUAGAGCUUCACUUGCUCUUUUAGAAGAUCCAUGAGAAGAUAAGCAACAAAUAGUCCACUGAAAAGUGACAAGUGAAAGUGAAUCCAUUUCAUCUUCUAAUUCCUAGUUAUGCUUUCUUUGGCUCCCCCAAGGAACCCAUUUUCUUCUGUAGUGCUUAUGUUUUCCAUACCUGAAAUAUAUCUUAUCCUCCACAUUAUUUUCUAAUCUAGAAAGUAUAACUUUUGAUAUGCCUCCUGAGAGAUCCCUCUGCUCUGCUGCUCGCUUUUUUUCUCAUAUUCUGUUAGUUUGUGAAUAUCUUUUUGAUACGAGGUUGUCUAAAACUGAUGGAGAUGAAAGGAUGGAGUGGGGAGGAAGGGAAGAAGCAAUUCACCAUUGUAUGGAGCAGAGAAAAAGAUAAUCUUCCUGCUUCAUGAUGUGGUAAUUGUGUCACAUCUUCCCACGCUGCAGAUAGAAACUUCCCCCAGAAGUCAAUGGUAGACCUCCCUCUGAUUUCCAAGGAUGUUGAUCACUUUCUUCAGUAUCUGCAAAUUCAUCUCUAUUGCUUUGUAAGAUCUAAUUCUGUAAACACUUCUGUAAAAUACUCACAAAGCUAUUCAUGAACACAUGGACUUACAGAAUUUUCCUCUAUGAAAUAACUGUCUGAAACCAGAUUAUAAAUUAGAUUAUCAAUGAAAUCCUAUUUUAUUACCUUUUAUAUUUUAAACUCUCAGAUUAUUUUUAUUGCUUCUUUUUUUUUCCUGCUGUUCAUUCUAAUCUUCAAGCUGAGUAAUGUAUGUGAAAAGUAUCCUAAGCUUCAGUCUCUUUAGGAAUACAAUUUUAGAUGAGAUUCUUCAAAAGUAAAGGCCUGAAAUUAGAACCCUGUUGUACAUAACAAAGAUAUUAAUGGAAGGCUGAGCCAUUCCAAGUGACAAUCCACUUGUUUAAGGUCAUAUUCUGUAAACAUGGACUUGUGCAUCAGUUUUCUGUGGGACUAUUCACAGAAGCAGUUAAGCACAGAGUAACUAUUGCAAAUUUGGAACUGCAGUUUACCAAACAUAGGUGUUUAAUCUAAGGUGCCUUAUUUGGAAUCUUGAAGAGUUUAUAUAUAUUUAAUGUUCCUCAUUUUCCUUAGAACAUUGUGGCUACAUUUAACUCCUUACAGUCAGAGAGGCUGAUCCGUGUAAUUUAAUCAUUUUGUUUACAAUUUAACUCUUCCUUAUCUGUCAUUUCUAUAUACUCAGGAGGAUUAUAAAAGAAAGCCAUUUAGUAUAUUCGAGAAAAUUGUGUUUGAAAUGAGAUGUACGUAUGAUUUUAUCAUUUUUACCUUCUAAGUGCCUUGCGAAUACUAACUCACAUGACAAUUAAGUAUUUAUUGUAAUCAUCAGAAUAUAAAAGAACUGUUUUUAUGAGAAAGCAAUGUGAAGACAUUGCAACACGUUUCUGACCUACUGGAAUGACAGAAUAACAUCCUCUGAAGCUGGGGGGAGCAAAUGUUGGGAUUUAAGAUUACCGUCUCCGAGUUUGUUCAGAACAUUUUUUGAGCGCACGCCUGGAAAAAUUCCAGAAAGCGAAUUUAGUGUCAAGAAAGUCAACGAAACAGUGAGCUUUAAGUAAAUAUUGUCGCAUGGGCACAUCUGAGCGUACAGAGGCGCUAAGAAAAACCCGCGAGGGAGGAGGACGCUCCGGGCGCCUGGGCAGAGCUCGCCGCCCCGUCGGACCUGCGGGGCGCCGCGGCUCUGCGCGCAGCGGCGCGGCCGGGGCCGCUCUGCGCCCUCCCGCCUGGCGGCGCGGGGGGCCCCGCUGCCCCCGCCGGCGCCGUGACCCCUUUCUGCCGCAGCUCGGGGCCCCGCGGCGCUUCAGGCGAGGCAGACGGGGCAAAAAAGCCUGGUGGGGGAAGAGUGCAUCGCUCGUGCUUAACAACGUCCUGAACGCGAGCAGCUACCGCGUCUCUGAUCCCUUCGGCGAUCUGCGGGGCUUGAGCGCAGCAAUCGCCAAUAGCCACGUUCCAGCUUUGAAGUCGCGGAAAUCAUCCUCACGGGCAUCAGCCGGUAUUUUAAUAGGGCUCAUUCUGGCCCACUUUUUACAAGGUGUAAGAAGGCCAAAAAUUCAGCACUCUUCCGGGGCAUCUAAAAUGUUAGGUCCCUCCUCCGAGAGACAUAUUUCCAUGUGAGGCCAAGCGCGGAGAGACAAAUUAGUGCGUAUGCUCGAAACUGCAUUUUCAACAGAAAUUCGGAUGCGUCCGUUCGUGUUUAGACGUGGAGUGGGACCGGGGGGGGGGGCGGUGUUCAGUGUGCAGGAAACAUCACUGGGAAACCUGGCAUGUAACAGCAAGGAUCAAAAGUAAAUGGCCUAUUUGAUGUGAAAAGUGAGUUCGGGGAUGCCUGAAACGGGGAGAGAGAAGAGCGGGGAGCGGCACGCAGGGCGCCUCGGAGCUGCGCUGCGGCGCGGCGAACCGCUGCGUUAGGGCCUGGCUCCCAAAAUGCCAGGAAACGGCCUGAGCAAUGUUGAGGUAGUCAAGCAAAAAGAUACAGCGCAGGUAGGAGCGUUUCUUUGUGGACUUUUAGGCGGAAACCUGGCCGCCGGCCCCCGCGCCCUGCCGGCCCUUGGUGCGCUGCGGCUUCCCCUGCAAACGCGCGUCCGGGUCCGUCACCACCCGUCGGGUGACGCCUGGAAAGGCACCACCAGCUUCUCCUCCUCUCCGCCCGCAGCAGAAGAGGCGACGGCCGCGGCGCGGGGCUGCGGGGCGCGGGCAGCGGGUGUCUGCGCCGAGGCGGAGCGGGGGCUCCCGCGACCGCGGGGCUGCGCGGCGCUGGGUGAGCACCGCCACCGCCACGGCUGCCUGCGCGCCUCCCCUUGCUCGCAUGGCGUGUGUCAGCCUCGCCAGUGCCUCCCGAAAAUGCAGAGCCGCAUGUGCAUGUAACUGAGACUCCCCGGGACACAGCCCGGAGCAGACCGCUCGCUCCUCUGUAUUGCGAGGCCGCUACCGCAGCGCUAAAAUUACGGACCGUUUCCGCACGCCGCAUCGAGCCACCUUGUUGUUGAUAAAGCGAUGGAAAAAUACCAGCCGCUGGUACAAUCAAAGUAUUUCAUCCAUGCCAAUGUGUGUAAUUAUAUUUGUGUAAAAAUAACCUUUUCCCUUGUACCGCUUAGUUUCUCCUGCUUUAGCAUACGUUUUGAGUUAAAACCGUUGACAAGAUUGUAACGAAAAUACUGAUUGAUGCAAACACGGCCUGAAACAAAUCCA